AACAGCAUCAAGAAGUGAGAGGGUUCUGGCAAUCACCUGGAAUCAGGGAGAUGGGAGAGUAGGGACCUUGGAAAUCCCAGGGGACUGCCUGUUGUGGGUAUUGAAAAGGACUGAUUUUCUCAGAGGUUUGACUGACCAUCCUCCCAAACCCUGCAGUGACCUGAGCCAGGGGAUUCAGCCAGUACAAGGCCUGGCCUUGUGCACUUUGAGCACCAUGGGCUCUGCUGAGAUGUGCCGAGACCUGGCCCCAGAAGUGGAGAAACUGCUCCUGCAGCCCAGUCCCUACGUGCGCAAGAAGGCUAUUCUGACUGCAGUGCACAUGAUCCGGAAGGUCCCUGAACUCUCCAGUGUCUUCCUCCCACCCUGUGCUCAACUGCUUCAUGAGCGUCACCAUGGUAAGGCUGUGGGGCUCCCCAUCCUUUGCUUCAGCUCUAUGGACAGAAGAAUUGAAAAUCGGAUGGGAACCCCAGCUCACAGGAGAAGGGUAGUGCACACACACAGGCACACACGCAAUAGACUCUCUUGCCCCUGGCCCCCACCAUUCACUUCCCCGACCCUGACCCCAGGCAUCCUGCUGGGCACCAUCACGCUGAUCACGGAGCUCUGCGAACGAAGCCCUGCAGCCCUCAGGCACU
Molecule: small RNA, 635 nt
Filed under: Pongo abelii (Sumatran orangutan)
Lineage: Eukaryota; Metazoa; Chordata; Mammalia; Primates; Hominidae
Description: retained intron
Source: RNAcentral